This 1372-nucleotide ribosomal RNA is filed under the name uncultured bacterium. RNAcentral's name for it is "bacterial SSU rRNA". It matches the Rfam family "Bacterial small subunit ribosomal RNA", at positions 28 to 1381 of the family's 1533-position model. The record is from RNAcentral.
GAUGAACGCUGGUUGCGUGCCUAAUACAUGCAAGUCGAGCGAACGGACGAGAAGCUUGCUUCUCUGAUGUUAGCGGCGGACGGGUGAGUAACACGUGGAUAACCUACCUAUAAGACUGGGAUAACUUCGGGAAACCGGAGCUAAUACCGGAUAAUAUUUUGAACCGCAUGGUUCAAAAGUGAAAGACGGUCUUGCUGUCACUUAUAGAUGGAUCCGCGCUGCAUUAGCUAGUUGGUAAGGUAACGGCUUACCAAGGCAACGAUGCAUAGCCGACCUGAGAGGGUGAUCGGCCACACUGGAACUGAGACACGGUCCAGACUCCUACGGGAGGCAGCAGUAGGGAAUCUUCCGCAAUGGGCGAAAGCCUGACGGAGCAACGCCGCGUGAGUGAUGAAGGUCUUCGGAUCGUAAAACUCUGUUAUUAGGGAAGAACAUAUGUGUAAGUAACUGUGCACAUCUUGACGGUACCUAAUCAGAAAGCCACGGCUAACUACGUGCCAGCAGCCGCGGUAAUACGUAGGUGGCAAGCGUUAUCCGGAAUUAUUGGGCGUAAAGCGCGCGUAGGCGGUUUUUUAAGUCUGAUGUGAAAGCCCACGGCUCAACCGUGGAGGGUCAUUGGAAACUGGAAAACUUGAGUGCAGAAGAGGAAAGUGGAAUUCCAUGUGUAGCGGUGAAAUGCGCAGAGAUAUGGAGGAACACCAGUGGCGAAGGCGACUUUCUGGUCUGUAACUGACGCUGAUGUGCGAAAGCGUGGGGAUCAAACAGGAUUAGAUACCCUGGUAGUCCAUGCCGUAAACGAUGAGUGCUAAGUGUUAGGGGGUUUCCGCCCCUUAGUGCUGCAGCUAACGCAUUAAGCGCUCCGCCUGGGGAGUACGACCGCAAGGUUGAAACUCAAAGGAAUUGACGGGGACCCGCACAAGCGGUGGAGCAUGUGGUUUAAUUCGAAGCAACGCGAAGAACCUUACCAAAUCUUGACAUCCUUUGACAACUCUAGAGAUAGAGCCUUCCCCUUCGGGGGACAAAGUGACAGGUGGUGCAUGGUUGUCGUCAGCUCGUGUCGUGAGAUGUUGGGUUAAGUCCCGCAACGAGCGCAACCCUUAAGCUUAGUUGCCAUCAUUAAGUUGGGCACUCUAAGUUGACUGCCGGUGACAAACCGGAGGAAGGUGGGGAUGACGUCAAAUCAUCAUGCCCCUUAUGAUUUGGGCUACACACGUGCUACAAUGGACAAUACAAAGGGCAGCGAAACCGCGAGGUCAAGCAAAUCCCAUAAAGUUGUUCUCAGUUCGGAUUGUAGUCUGCAACUCGACUACAUGAAGCUGGAAUCGCUAGUAAUCGUAGAUCAGCAUGCUACGGUGAAUACGUUCCCGGGUCU